This 257-nucleotide ribosomal RNA is filed under the name uncultured bacterium. RNAcentral describes it as "partial 16S ribosomal RNA". It matches the Rfam family "Bacterial small subunit ribosomal RNA", at positions 524 to 776 of the family's 1533-position model. The record is from RNAcentral.
AACGGGGGGACCAAGCGUUUAUUCGUCUUGACUGGGCGUAAAGGGCAAGUAGGUGGUCUGAUGCUUUCUUCUCUAAAAAAAACAAACAAAUACGUUUGCAUUAGAGAAGGGGUCAAUGACUAGAGUGCAAUAGAGGAUAGCAGUACUCUCAAUGGAGGGGUAGAAUAUCCUUUGAUAUUGUAGGGGACUAUCAGUGGCGAAAGCGGCUAUCUGGAUGAUACUGACACUGAGAGGCGAAAGCGUGGGGAGCAAACGGG